This 253-nucleotide ribosomal RNA is filed under the name uncultured bacterium. RNAcentral's name for it is "partial 16S ribosomal RNA". It matches the Rfam family "Bacterial small subunit ribosomal RNA", at positions 524 to 776 of the family's 1533-position model. The record is from RNAcentral.
UACGGAGGGGGCGAGCGUUAUUCGGAAUUAUUGGGCGUAAAGGGCGCGUAGGCGGCUGAACAAGUCAAAGGUGAAAUCCCUCGGCUCAACUGAGGAACUGCCUUUGAAACUGUUCGGCUUGAGGCCGGGAGGGGGUAGCGGAAUUCCCAGUGUAGCGGUGAAAUGCGUAGAUAUUGGGAGGAACACCAGUGGCGAAGGCGGCUACCUGGACCGGUUCUGACGCUGAGGCGCGAAGGCGUGGGGAGCGAACAGG